UAGCACAAGAAGGUAGUUACUUGAUAAGCUUCAAAGCUAUUUAAGAGGAAAGUCCGAGCUGCUGUAAGACGAUGUUCCAUUUAACGAAUGGCCGUAGUAAUACGAGGGAAAGUGCAACAGAAACAAGACUUCUAUUUUUUGUCGUAUAUCUGAAUAAAAAGUAGUAAAGGUGAAAAGGUGGUGUAAGAGACCACCAGUCUCUAUGGCAACAUAGAGAGCUUGUAAACCCAACAUGGCAGCAAGAAGCAGAUGGUUAGCGUCUUACAUUGCUAUUGCUUUGCUAGAGCCAUAGUGUGAACUAUGGAGUAGAUUAAUGCUACUGUAACAAAACUCGGCUUAUUCUUGUGCUAACAU
Molecule: RNase P RNA, 354 nt
Filed under: Campylobacterota bacterium
Lineage: Bacteria; Pseudomonadati; Campylobacterota
Description: Epsilonproteobacteria bacterium (mullusc metagenome) RNase P RNA component class A
Rfam family: Bacterial RNase P class A
About the family: Ribonuclease P (RNase P) is a ubiquitous endoribonuclease, found in archaea, bacteria and eukarya as well as chloroplasts and mitochondria. Its best characterised activity is the generation of mature 5'-ends of tRNAs by cleaving the 5'-leader elements of precursor-tRNAs.
Source: RNAcentral